UACGAAGGGGGCUAGCGUUGUUCGGAAUCACUGGGCGUAAAGCGCACGUAGGCGGACAGGUAAGUUGGGGGUGAAAGCCCAGGGCUCAACCCUGGAAAUGCCUCCGAUACUGUCUGGCUAGAGUUAGGGAGAGGUGAGUGGAAUUCCUAGUGUAGAGGUGAAAUUCGUAGAUAUUAGGAAGAACACCAGUGGCGAAGGCGGCUCACUGGCCCGCUACUGACGCUGAGAUGCGAAAGCGUGGGUAGCAAACAGG
RNAcentral lists this ribosomal RNA (253 nucleotides) under uncultured bacterium. Its description in RNAcentral is "partial 16S ribosomal RNA". It matches the Rfam family "Bacterial small subunit ribosomal RNA", at positions 524 to 776 of the family's 1533-position model. The record is from RNAcentral.